GUACGCAGCGAGAUGUAUCUGUACAUAACUAUAAGUACAGUCGUAAGAGAGCGUUUGCUUGAGGCAGACCGUGUCUCUAACUAUGAGACCAACCUUGUACAUAUUGCAUGACAUUACAUUUUAUUUUAAAACAAACUCAAUAGUUUUAACUUAUCCCAGUCAUUUUUAACAUGGUAGCAGAGCGUGGUUAAUAGUGUGAUCGAUUAAAAUUGAAAAAUAAGUGAAUGAUCAAGAAGAUGCAAGUGAAUACGAUUGUGAAUUUUGCCGUCAUGCGGUGCUUGGCAGGAACACAUGGAAAUUUGAGGAUAUACGACUAAAUGAGUAGAAACAAGAUAAUAUAGUACUCAACGUAAUGAAACACCGAGGAUAUUGAUAAGUAUACUGUAAAUAUCAAGUUGGCGAGGAGGUGCUAUAACCCGAGGCAGCUGGCGAGGCAACAACUCUCGUGGAAGCGGUCAAAGGGGCAGCUACAAUCAAGAAGAAAAUUACCAAAACAACAACUACAGAGGUUAUACUAAUAACAACAAUAGAGGCUACGGCAACUACAGAGGCUACAGCAAUAACAGAGGAUAUAAUAACAACAACAAUCGAGGUUACGGUCAACGAGGAGGUCACCGAGAGUUCAACAAUCAACGAAGUUUUCAACAAGAAGGUCAACACGACGCACGCUAUAGUUAUAAUAAUAGGUAUUACGAUAAUACACCACAGACGUUUUAUUUGCAUGCAAAUAUUGAUGUUAAAAAUUUUAAUAGUAGAGUAAAUUCCAUAAAUCAGAGUCAAAGUACUCAAAUAAAUUGGAUCUUAGAUAGUGGUUGUACAGACCAUAUAAUAAACGAUGAUUCUUAUUUCUCAAAUUUUAAAAGAUUAGAAAAACCAAUUUAUGUAACUAUUGCAGAUGGUAGAAAAAUAAAGUGCGAAAAAGUUGGAAAUAUUAUAACAUCAUUUUAUCAAAAAAGUUUUAAAACAGAAAUAAUUAUGAAAAAUGUUUUUUAUGUAAAAGAAUUGGAUAGAAAUCUAAUAAGUCUAGCUAGAAUUACAAAUAAUAAAAAUUUUAAAAUCUUAUCUCAAGGAAAUCGAUCUGAAAUUUACGAUAGAAACAAUAAUAUAAUUUGUACUGCGUAUAACGAAAAUGGUCUAUAUAAAAUUUCGUCAUAUGUUGAUAAAAGAAAUAUUAGCGUAAAUAAUUCUGGAAUAAUAAGUCAAAAAGAAAAAUUACAUAGGAUUCUUGGCCAUGUAAAUUUUAAUUAUUUAGAAAAACUUUGCAAAUAUGAAUUAAUCGAAGGACUUCCAAAAAACUUAGAAAAAGAAUAUAUGAAAUGUGGAAUUUGUAUCAAAAACAAAAUGCAUAAUUUACGUUUUGAAAACAAUAGAACAAAAGCAACAGAAAUCCUUCAAUUAGUUCAUACUGAC
This is a long non-coding RNA of Phymastichus coffea, 1410 nucleotides long. RefSeq lists it as uncharacterized. The transcript is spliced from 3 exons. The record is from RefSeq and is a predicted model, not a curated record. NCBI's taxonomy places the organism in Eukaryota, Metazoa, Arthropoda, Insecta, Hymenoptera, Eulophidae.